ACGUAGGGUGCGAGCGUUAAUCGGAAUUACUGGGCGUAAAGCGUGCGCAGGCGGUUAUUUAAGACAGAUGUGAAAUCCCCGGGCUCAACCUGGGAACUGCGUUUGUGACUGGAUAGCUGGAGUAUGGCAGAGGGGGGUGGAAUUCCACGUGUAGCAGUGAAAUGCGUAGAGAUGUGGAGGAACACCGAUGGCGAAGGCAGCCCCCUGGGCCAAUACUGACGCUCAUGCACGAAAGCGUGGGGAGCAAACAGGAUUAGAUACCCUGGUAGUCCACGCCCUAAACGAUGCGAACUAGGUGUUGGGGAAGGAGACUUUCUUAGUACCGCAGCUAACGCGUGAAGUUCGCCGCCUGGGGAGUACGGUCGCAAGAUUA
This 373-nucleotide ribosomal RNA is filed under the name uncultured bacterium. RNAcentral's name for it is "bacterial SSU rRNA". It matches the Rfam family "Bacterial small subunit ribosomal RNA", at positions 525 to 896 of the family's 1533-position model. The record is from RNAcentral.